RNAcentral lists this ribosomal RNA (375 nucleotides) under uncultured bacterium. Its description in RNAcentral is "bacterial SSU rRNA". It matches the Rfam family "Bacterial small subunit ribosomal RNA", at positions 521 to 896 of the family's 1533-position model. The record is from RNAcentral.
UAAUACGAACUGUGCGAACGUUAUUCGGAAUCACUGGGCUUAAAGGGUGCGUAGGCGGCCGUUUAGGUAGGGUGUGAAAUCCCCCGGCCCAACCGGGGAAUGGCGCUCUAAACCGUACGGCUCGAGUGAGGCAGGGGUGUGUGGAACUUCCAGUGGAGCGGUGAAAUGUGUUGAUAUUGGAAGGAACCCCGGUGGCGAAAGCGACACACUGGGCCUUAACUGACGCUGAGGCACGAAAGCCAGGGGAGCAAACGGGAUUAGAUACCCCGGUAGUCCUGGCUGUAAACGAUGAGCACUAGACGGGAGGGGUCUCGGCCCUUUCGGUCGUAGCGAAAGCGUUAAGUGCUCCGCCUGGGGAGUAUGGUCGCAAGGCUG